UACGUAGGUGGCGAGCGUUGUCCGGAAUUACUGGGUGUAAAGGGCGUGUAGGCGGGGCGUCAAGUCAGAUGUGAAAGUCCGAGGCUUAACUUCGGGUGUGCAUCUGAAACUGAUGUUCUUGAGUGUCGGAGAGGAAAGUGGAAUUCCCAGUGUAGCGGUGAAAUGCGUAGAGAUUGGGAGGAACACCAGUGGCGAAGGCGGCUUUCUGGACGAUAACUGACGCUGAGGCGCGAAAGCGUGGGUAGCAAACAGG
RNAcentral lists this ribosomal RNA (253 nucleotides) under uncultured bacterium. Its description in RNAcentral is "partial 16S ribosomal RNA". It matches the Rfam family "Bacterial small subunit ribosomal RNA", at positions 524 to 776 of the family's 1533-position model. The record is from RNAcentral.